UCGUCAGCUCGUGUCGUGAGAUGUUGGGUAAGUCCCGCAACGAGCGCAACCUUGUGUUUAGUUGCAAACAGGUCAAGCUGUGCACUCUAGACAGACUGCCGUGGACAACACGGAGGAAGGUGGGGAUGACGUCAAAUCAUCAUGCCCCUUAUGAUCUGGGCUACACACGUGCUACAAUGGCCGGUACAACGGGCAGCGAAGGAGCGAUCCGGAGCGAAUCCUAAAAAGCCGGUCCCAGUUCGGAUUGCAGGCUGAAACUCGCCUACAUGAAGUUGGAGUUGCUAGUAAUCGCGAAUCAGAAUGUCGCGGUGAAUGCGUUCCCGGGUCUU
Molecule: ribosomal RNA, 329 nt
Filed under: uncultured Fusibacter sp.
Lineage: Bacteria; Bacillati; Bacillota; Clostridia; Eubacteriales; Fusibacteraceae
Description: bacterial SSU rRNA
Rfam family: Bacterial small subunit ribosomal RNA
Source: RNAcentral